This 1491-nucleotide ribosomal RNA is filed under the name uncultured prokaryote. Its description in RNAcentral is "partial 16S ribosomal RNA". It matches the Rfam family "Bacterial small subunit ribosomal RNA". The record is from RNAcentral.
GUUUGCUCAUGGCUCAGAUUGAACGUUGGCGGCAGGCCUAAUACAUGCAAGUCGAGCGGUAACAGAUCUAGCUUGCUAGAUGCUGACGAGCGGCGGACGGGUGAGUAACGCGUAGGAAUCUAUCCAGUAGCGGGGGAUAGCCCAGGGAAACAUACCGCAUACGCCCCACGGGGGAAAGGCCGGGAUCUAUUUAUAGACCGGUCACUAUUGGAGGAGCCUGCGUUAGAUUAGCUAGUUGGUAGGGUAAAGGCCUACCAAGGCGACGAUCUAUAGCUGUUCUGAGAGGAAGAUCAGCCACACUGGAACUGAGACACGGUCCAGACUCCUACGGGAGGCAGCAGUAGGGAAUAUUGUGCAAUGGGGGAAACCCUGACACAGCCAUGCCGCGUGUGUGAAGAAGGCCCUAGGGUUGUAAAGCACUUUCAGUAGGGAGGAUAAGGUUGGAUUAAUAAUCUUAGUUCUAUGACGUUACCCGCAGAAGAAGUACCGGCUAACUCCGUGCCAGCAGCCGCGGUAAUACGGAGGGUACAAACGUUAAUCGGAAUUACUGGGCGUAAAGCGCGCGUAGGUGGUUUAUUAAGUGGGAUGUGAAAGCCCCGGGCUUAACCUGGGAAGGUCAGAUCAUACUGUAUUAGCUAGAGUACAGUAGAGAGAAGCGGAAUUUCUAGUGUAGCGGUGAAAUGCGUAGAUAUUAGAAGGAACACCAGUGGCGAAGGCGACUUUCUGGGCUGAUACUGACACUGAGGCGCGAAAGCGUGGGGAGCGAACAGGAUUAGAUACCCUGGUAGUCCACGCUGUGAACGAUGAAAACUAGAUGUCUGUGUCUUCGGACGUGGGUAUCGCAGCUAACGCAUUAAGUGAACCGCCUGGGGAGUACGGCCGCAAGGCUAAAGCUCAAAUGAAUUGACGGGGGCCCGCACAAGCGGUGGAGCAUGUGGUUUAAUUCGAUGCAACGCGAAGAACCUUACCUACCCUUGACAUUAAGAGAGUCUUGCAGAGAUGCGAGAGUGCCUUCGGGAGCUCUUGGACAGGUGCUGCAUGGCUGUCGUCAGCUCGUGUCGUGAGAUGUUUGGUUAAGUCCAGCAACGAGCGCAACCCUUAUCGUUAGUUGCCAGCACGUAAUGGUGGGAACUCUAACGAGACUGCCCGGGUUAACCGGGAGGAAGGCGGGGAUGACGUCAAGUCCUCAUGGCCCUUAUAUCCAGGGCUACACACGUGCUACAAUGGUAAGUACAGAGGGCAGCAAGCCCAGCGAUGGUUAGCUAAUCCCUAAAGCUUAUCUCAGUCCGGAUUGGAGUCUGCAACUCGACUCCAUGAAGUUGGAAUCGCUAGUAAUCGCGGAUCAGCAUGCCGCGGUGAAUAUGUUCCCGGGCCUUGUACACACCGCCCGUCACACCAUGGGAGUUGAUUAUACCCGACGUCAGUUGGUUAUUGGGCCGCCUACCACGGUAUGAUUCAUGACUGGGGUGAAGUCGUAACCAAGGUAACCGU